AGACCCGAAACCCGGUGAUCUAGCCAUGGGCAGGUUGAAGGUUGGGUAACACUAACUGGAGGACCGAACCGACUAAUGUUGAAAAAUUAGCGGAUGACCUGUGGCUGGGGGUGAAAGGCCAAUCAAACCGGGAGAUAGCUGGUUCUCCCCGAAAGCUAUUUAGGUAGCGCCUCGUGAAUUCAUCUCCGGGGGUAGAGCACUGUUUCGGCUAGGGGGCCAUCCCGGCUUACCAACCCGAUGCAAACUGCGAAUACCGGAGAAUGUUAUCACGGGAGACACACGGCGGGUGCUAACGUCCGUCGUGAAGAGGGAAACAACCCAGACCGCCAGCUAAGGUCCCAAAGUCAUGGUUAAGUGGGAAACGAUGUGGGAAGGCCCAGACAGCCAGGAUGUUGGCUUAGAAGCAGCCAUCAUUUAAAGAAAGCGUAAUAGCUCACUGGUCGAGUCGGCCUGCGCGGAAGAUGUAACGGGGCUAAACCAUGCACCGAAGCUGCGGCAGCGACACUGUGUGUUGUUGGGUAGGGGAGCGUUCUGUAAGCCUGUGAAGGUGUGUCGUGAGGCAUGCUGGAGGUAUCAGAAGUGCGAAUGCUGACAUAAGUAACGAUAAAGCGGGUGAAAAGCCCGCUCGCCGGAAGACCAAGGGUUCCUGUCCAACGUUAAUCGGGGCAGGGUGAGUCGACCCCUAAGGCGAGGCCGAAAGGCGUAGUCGAUGGGAAACGGGUUAAUAUUCCCGUACUUGGUGUUACUGCGAAGGGGGGACGGAGAAGGCUAUGUUGGCCGGGCGACGGUUGUCCCGGUUUAAGUGUGUAGGUGUGUGUUCCAGGUAAAUCCGGUUCACUUUAACACUGAGGCGUGACGACGAGGCACUACGGUGCUGAAGCAACAAAUGCCCUGCUUCCAGGAAAAGCCUCUAAGCAUCAGGUAACAUCAAAUCGUACCCCAAACCGACACAGGUGGUCAGGUAGAGAAUACCAAGGCGCUUGAGAGAACUCGGGUGAAGGAACUAGGCAAAAUGGUGCCGUAACUUCGGGAGAAGGCACGCUGACACGUAGGUGAAGUGAUUUACUCAUGGAGCUGAAGUCAGUCGAAGAUACCAGCUGGCUGCAACUGUUUAUUAAAAACACAGCACUGUGCAAACACGAAAGUGGACGUAUACGGUGUGACGCCUGCCCGGUGCCGGAAGGUUAAUUGAUGGGGUCAGCGCAAGCGAAGCUCCUGAUCGAAGCCCCGGUAAACGGCGGCCGUAACUAUAACGGUCCUAAGGUAGCGAAAUUCCUUGUCGGGUAAGUUCCGACCUGCACGAAUGGCGUAAUGAUGGCCAGGCUGUCUCCACCCGAGACUCAGUGAAAUUGAACUCGCUGUGAAGAUGCAGUGUACCCGCGGCAAGACGGAAAGACCCCGUGAACCUUUACUAUAGCUUGACACUGAACAUUGAGCCUUGAUGUGUAGGAUAGGUGGGAGGCUUUGAAGUGUGGACGCCAGUCUGCAUGGAGCCGACCUUGAAAUACCACCCUUUAAUGUUUGAUGUUCUAACGUGGACCCGUUACCCGGGUUGCGGACAGUGUCUGGUGGGUAGUUUGACUGGGGCGGUCUCCUCCUAAAGAGUAACGGAGGAGCACGAAGGUUGGCUAAUCCUGGUCGGACAUCAGGAGGUUAGUGCAAUGGCAUAAGCCAGCUUGACUGCGAGCGUGACGGCGCGAGCAGGUGCGAAAGCAGGUCAUAGUGAUCCGGUGGUUCUGAAUGGAAGGGCCAUCGCUCAACGGAUAAAAGGUACUCCGGGGAUAACAGGCUGAUACCGCCCAAGAGUUCAUAUCGACGGCGGUGUUUGGCACCUCGAUGUCGGCUCAUCACAUCCUGGGGCUGAAGUAGGUCCCAAGGGUAUGGCUGUUCGCCAUUUAAAGUGGUACGCGAGCUGGGUUUAGAACGUCGUGAGACAGUUCGGUCCCUAUCUGCCGUGGGCGCUGGAGAACUGAGGGGGGCUGCUCCUAGUACGAGAGGACCGGAGUGGACGCAUCACUGGUGUUCGGGUUGUCAUGCCAAUGGCACUGCCCGGUAGCUAAAUGCGGAAGAGAUAAGUGCUGAAAGCAUCUAAGCACGAAACUUGCCCCGAG
RNAcentral lists this ribosomal RNA (2111 nucleotides) under Salmonella enterica. RNAcentral's name for it is "partial 23S ribosomal RNA". It matches the Rfam family "Bacterial large subunit ribosomal RNA", at positions 711 to 2803 of the family's 2925-position model. Lineage: Bacteria; Pseudomonadati; Pseudomonadota; Gammaproteobacteria; Enterobacterales; Enterobacteriaceae. The record is from RNAcentral. RNAcentral also lists the same sequence under 1 other name.